This 278-nucleotide long non-coding RNA is filed under the name Serinus canaria (Common canary). Its description in RNAcentral is "lncRNA (ENSSCAG00000008934.1)". Lineage: Eukaryota; Metazoa; Chordata; Aves; Passeriformes; Fringillidae. The record is from RNAcentral.
UGUACUCAAGAAAAGAAAAUGCAGAUUGUCAGAAUCCUUCAAAUUUGAUACUCAGCACUGUUAUGAUCUCUUCAUUACCGGAUAUGGAAUCUGGAUAUCAGAACUGAUAUAGUGAAGUACUCCUCUAUUAAACUGAGGACCAACCUAAAAUCAGCAAAGUAACACCGGGCCUAACACAAUCAGGAAAUCUGCGUCUCUUAGAGUGAAAAGCAGCCAACCUGUCUGUCUUCUGCCCUGUCCCAAAACCUCAAUGAAACAACUCUUUUGCAUCUCACAGC